RNAcentral lists this long non-coding RNA (472 nucleotides) under Androctonus crassicauda. The record is from RNAcentral. Lineage: Eukaryota; Metazoa; Arthropoda; Arachnida; Scorpiones; Buthidae.
AUUUCCGUGGCGUUGGUGGGUCUAGCGUUUGUCUGUCAUUGAUGACAGUUCCUUGUUUGCUCCCCUGUAGAGUGCUCGGCGCUUCGGCUAUCGGCGGUUCUCUUGUGUCUUCUACUGUUCUGCGUGCGCCUGCUUCCUCCCAAUUUGUUUUGAUGUUGUGCUCGUGUGCUCUUCUUGCCGGGGCUGUGCUUUGUGCUCCUUUUCUUGUAUCGUUUUGGUGUUCUUUGGGUCUAUCUCGUGAAUUCCUACAUGUGGCACCUAUAUGUGCUUCAUUGCUUCCUUGAUCGAUGUUGUUGAGUGGGAUUUCAUGUAUUCCUGACCGCUGUGUCUUGUUGUGUCUGUCUUUCACAUUCUGGAGCGGAUUGGUUGCGGUGUUUGGUCGGCGGUACGCUGGUGUUUUUUUUCGUCUUUUUAAGUAUUUGCUUUGCUGUGCUGAGGUCUCUUAGGUCGUCUGUUGCUGCUUCAUGGUCUC